Molecule: non-coding RNA, 89 nt
Organism: Sorghum bicolor (sorghum)
Lineage: Eukaryota; Viridiplantae; Streptophyta; Magnoliopsida; Poales; Poaceae
Source: Rfam
GCUCAGGAGAGAUGACACCGACGUCGGACGGACCGGUCGAUCCGCGCCGUGUCUGUCCGUCCGAAGUGGGUGUCAUCUCGCCUGAAGCA